CAAUAGUAUUAGGUUGGUGAAAAAGUAAUUAUGGUUUUUGCCAUUAAUAGUUAUGGCAGAAACCACAAUUACUUUUUCAACAACCCAAUA
This is a microRNA precursor of Chlorocebus sabaeus (green monkey), 90 nucleotides long. NCBI's taxonomy places the organism in Eukaryota, Metazoa, Chordata, Mammalia, Primates, Cercopithecidae. The record is from Ensembl.